CCGCGGUAAUACGUAGGGUGCAAGCGUUAAUCGGAAUUACUGGGCGUAAAGCGUGCGCAGGCGGUUUGUUAAGACAGAUGUGAAAUCCCCGGGCUCAACCUGGGAACUGCAUUUGUGACUGGCAAGCUAGAGUAUGGCAGAGGGGGGUGGAAUUCCGCGUGUAGCAGUGAAAUGCGUAGAUAUGCGGAGGAACACCGAUGGCGAAGGCAGCCCCCUGGGCCAAUACUGACGCUCAUGCACGAAAGCGUGGGGAGCAAACAGGAUUAGAUACCCUGGUAGUCCACGCCCUAAACGAUGUCAACUAGUUGUUGGGGAUUCAUUUCCUUAGUAACGUAGCUAACGCGUGAAGUUGACCGCCUGGGGAGUACGGUCGCAAGAUUAAAACUCAAAG
Molecule: ribosomal RNA, 391 nt
Filed under: Robbsia sp.
Lineage: Bacteria; Pseudomonadati; Pseudomonadota; Betaproteobacteria; Burkholderiales; Burkholderiaceae
Description: bacterial SSU rRNA
Rfam family: Bacterial small subunit ribosomal RNA
Source: RNAcentral